UACGUAGGGCGCAAGCGUUGUCCGGAAUUAUUGGGCGUAACGAGCUCGUAGGCGGUUUGUCGCGUCUGCUGUGAAAUCCCGAGGCUCAACCUCGGGCUUGCAGUGGGUACGGGCAGACUAGAGUGCGGUAGGGGAGACUGGAAUUCCUGGUGUAGCGGUGGAAUGCGCAGAUAUCAGGAGGAACACCGGUGGCGAAGGCGGGUCUCUGGGCCGAUACUGACGCUGAGACGCGAAAGCGUGGGGAGCGAACAGG
This 253-nucleotide ribosomal RNA is filed under the name uncultured bacterium. RNAcentral's name for it is "partial 16S ribosomal RNA". It matches the Rfam family "Bacterial small subunit ribosomal RNA", at positions 524 to 776 of the family's 1533-position model. The record is from RNAcentral.